CUUCGACUUUCGAUUACGUUUAGUGAGGUUGUAGUAACUUUUGAUGUUAUAUUUCAGAAACUCAAUUGGUGGGGAUUAAAAAAGGGUGUGAUACAUCGAUGCGUUAUCAUCUAGCAUAUCUUAUCACAUUAUCAUGAUUUAUUAAUAGUUUGUCUUUGUGCAUCCCGCGUUCACUAAAAACAGAUUUGGGUUAGAAACUGUUCGGUAAUUUGUCUUUCCUACGUAAACAUAAACUUUCACAUUUCCUUAUUGACAUAUGAUACAGGCUUGAAUGAUAUCACGAAUCAAUAUUAGCGUUUGAAAAUUGCUUUUGAAACAAAUUUUAUGAAAUUGAACUUUUCAAUUACCGUAUUUUAUAAAACUUAUCAAUCCUUUAUCUAAACUGUUUUAUUAAUUAGUUCCUAGAACUGAGAAUCAAUCUUAUUUUUCUUUCAAGCUUGAGUAUUGUCCCAAAAAAUUAAUAAAAUGUCCAAACUUGAAACAGGUUUUCAGAAUACAUUUGAAUAAGUUGCACUUUUGUUUAUCAUGUGCAGAAUGUCUGCGCGUUGGAACUUAUGUAAGUGUUGCUGUGGCGGCAAUGAGGAUGAUCGAGCGCCUCAUUUUUAUUGUGGAUGUGAAGCUAGUAGCAAUGUAAAACGUAGCAAAUUAAAAAUGUACGGCGAAGACUUGUCUACUGAAGAUAUUGACAAACAAACAUUAAUUUUUGAUGGUAAUGAAAGUACUGCUUCCGAUAACAACACUGAAAAGCGAGAAAAAGAUGAAUGGGUUGUGCAUAAUCCGUUUCACGGUGAAUAUAUGCCGGAUCAUCUCAAAACAAUUGGACAUUGGCUUCCACUUUAAUCCAAGAUUCGAUCAACAGUAUAUUGCAAGGAACUCCAAGAUUGAUGGAAAAUGGGGUAUCGAAGAAGCUCAGUCUUACUGCCGAUUUCCGUUUUCAAGAGGAGACAAAUUCUGCGUAGAAAUUUUCGCAACUCAUAAUGAAUUCAUGGUUGCUGUGAACGGCUUACAUUACUGUGCCUUCUCAUAUCGAUAUCCCCUAUUCGAUCUGAACAGAAUUGAGAUUUUUGGAAAUUUAACAUUACAAAAAAUAGUGUGCGUUUCGAGCAAAAUUUACCCAUCUGAAUUGUCGAAUACUCUACUGCCAAAAUCACAUUUCUUGUCAAUUUCCAACUGCAGAACCAAAUCGCUCAGCUCAGAUCCAUUGGACUGUGUCACUCCUCUGGUUAUAUCAUUAGAUAAUAAAAUUAGUGCCGGAACUGAAAUCGAAAUCAUUGGCAGAGUGAAACUCCUUCCACAUUCGUUUUACGUGAAUCUUCAGCGGGGCAAACUGAACUGUCCGCAUCCAGUGAUCAAUCUGCACGUUAAUGCACGCUUCCGCGAGAAGCCGAACCGAGGCUGCUGCACCAUUCUGAGCAACUCGUGGAUCAGUGACGAGUGGGGCAGUGAGCAGUUUGCAAGUCGCGACUCCUACUUCUUCGCCGGUCAACACUUCCGGCUCACCAUCAAGUGCCAGGACGAGGCCUUCCUGCUCUCCAACAACGGAAACACUAUCAUGGCCUUCACGCAUCGCGCCGACUACAGUCGCGUCAACACCAUCUUAAUUGUUGGCGACAUAUUUGUUCAGUCAGUUACAUUGCAAUAACAGCUGAUAUUAGCACUAGUGUCAACACCAGUAUCUUAAUUGUUGGAGACAUAUUUUUUCAGUCGGUUACAUUGCAAUAACAGCUGAAAUUAGCACUAGUGUCAACACCAGCAUCUUAAUUGUUGGCGAGAUAUUUUUUCAGUCGGUUACAUUCCAAUAACAGCUGAUAUUAGCACUAGUGUCAACACCAGCAUCUUAAGGCUGUACAAAGACUAAAAAUAAACUUUCUACUG
RNAcentral lists this unclassified non-coding RNA (1875 nucleotides) under Nilaparvata lugens (brown planthopper). RNAcentral describes it as "galectin-8, transcript variant X2". Lineage: Eukaryota; Metazoa; Arthropoda; Insecta; Hemiptera; Delphacidae. The record is from RNAcentral.